This 495-nucleotide ribosomal RNA is filed under the name uncultured bacterium. Its description in RNAcentral is "partial 16S ribosomal RNA". It matches the Rfam family "Bacterial small subunit ribosomal RNA", at positions 28 to 507 of the family's 1533-position model. The record is from RNAcentral.
GACGAACGCUGGCGGCGUGCCUAAUACAUGCAAGUAGAACGCUGAAGGAGGAGCUUGCUUCUCUGGAUGAGUUGCGAACGGGUGAGUAACGCGUAGGUAACCUGCCUGGUAGCGGGGGAUAACUAUUGGAAACGAUAGCUAAUACCGCAUAAUAGUAGAUGUUGCAUGACAUUUGCUUAAAAGGUGCAAUUGCAUCACUACCAGAUGGACCUGCGUUGUAUUAGCUAGUUGGUGGGGUAACGGCUCACCAACGCGACGAUACAUAGCCGACCUGAGAGGGUGAUCGGCCACACUGGGACUGAGACACGGCCCAGACUCCUACGGGAGGCAGCAGUAGGGAAUCUUCGGCAAUGGACGGAAGUCUGACCGAGCAACGCCGCGUGAGUGAAGAAGGUUUUCGGAUCGUAAAGCUCUGUUGUAAGAGAAGAACGAGUGUGAGAGUGGAAAGUUCACACUGUGACGGUAUCUUACCAGAAAGGGACGGCUAACUACGUG